This 505-nucleotide ribosomal RNA is filed under the name uncultured bacterium. RNAcentral describes it as "partial 16S ribosomal RNA". It matches the Rfam family "Bacterial small subunit ribosomal RNA", at positions 28 to 507 of the family's 1533-position model. The record is from RNAcentral.
GACGAACGCUGGCGGCGUGCCUAAUACAUGCAAGUCGAACGCACAGUUUAUACCGUAGCUUGCUACACCAUAGACUGUGAGUUGCGAACGGGUGAGUAACGCGUAGGUAACCUGCCUGGUAGCGGGGGAUAACUAUUGGAAACGAUAGCUAAUACCGCAUAAUAUUAAUUAUUGCAUGAUAAUUAAUUGAAAGGUGCAAUUGCACCACUACCAGAUGGACCUGCGUUGUAUUAGCUAGUAGGUGAGGUAACGGCUCACCUAGGCGACGAUACAUAGCCGACCUGAGAGGGUGAUCGGCCACACUGGGACUGAGACACGGCCCAGACUCCUACGGGAGGCAGCAGUAGGGAAUCUUCGGCAAUGGACGAAAGUCUGACCGAGCAACGCCGCGUGAGUGAAGAAGGUCUUCGGAUCGUAAAGCUCUGUUGUAAGAGAAGAACGGGUGUGAGAGUGGAAAGUUCACACUGUGACGGUAUCUUACCAGAAAGAGACGGCUAACUACGUG